GACGAACGCUGGCGGCAUGCCUAACACAUGCAAGUCGAACGGAACUUGUUGAAUGAAGUUUUCGGAUGGAUUUUAGCAAGUUUAGUGGCGGACGGGUGAGUAACGCGUGAGCAACCUGCCUUUCAGAGGGGGACAACAGUUGGAGACGACCGCUAAUACCGCAUAAUGUAGCGAGACCGCAUGGUCAUGCUACCAAAGCUUUAUGUGCUGAGAGAUGGCCUCGCGUCUGAUUAGCUAGUUGGUGGGGUAACGGCCUACCAAGGCGACGAUCAGUAGCCGGACUGAGAGGAUGACCGGCCACAUUGGAACUGAGACACGGUCCAA
RNAcentral lists this ribosomal RNA (324 nucleotides) under uncultured bacterium. RNAcentral's name for it is "bacterial SSU rRNA". It matches the Rfam family "Bacterial small subunit ribosomal RNA", at positions 28 to 334 of the family's 1533-position model. The record is from RNAcentral.